Long non-coding RNA from Rhincodon typus (whale shark), 233 nucleotides. RefSeq lists it as uncharacterized. The transcript is spliced from 3 exons. NCBI's taxonomy places the organism in Eukaryota, Metazoa, Chordata, Chondrichthyes, Orectolobiformes, Rhincodontidae. The record is from RefSeq and is a predicted model, not a curated record.
CAUGGUUUAUCAGGUUCUCCGAGAUGAACAUACACUUUAAGGUGUACGGCAGCUCAUGGUCACUGGACGUACACAGCCUCUCUUCAUGGAUAAGAUGAAGAGUAAUGGGGAGAGUUUGAGGUGAUGCAAUUGGGAGUUAUGUUUAACAGAAAUUUAAUCUGUGAAUGCAGCAAGGUCAUGAAAUUUAUGUCAAGGACACAGGAUGUGAUAAAUGGGUCAACAAAUACCUCAUC